Molecule: ribosomal RNA, 497 nt
Filed under: uncultured bacterium
Lineage: Bacteria
Description: partial 16S ribosomal RNA
Rfam family: Bacterial small subunit ribosomal RNA
Source: RNAcentral
GAUGAACGCUGGCGGCGUGCCUAAUACAUGCAAGUCGAGCGAACGGACGAGAAGCUUGCUUCUCUGAUGUUAGCGGCGGACGGGUGAGUAACACGUGGAUAAUCUACCUAUAAGACUGGGAUAACUUCGGGAAACCGGAGCUAAUACCGGAUGAUAUUUUGAACCGCAUGGUUCAAAAGUGAAAGACGGUCUUGCUGUCACUUCUAGAUGGAUCCGCGCUGCAUUAGCUAGUUGGUAAGGUAACGGCUUACCAAGGCAACUAUGCAUAGCCGACCUGAGAGGGUGAUCGGCCACACGGGAACGGAAACACGGUCCAGACGCCUACGGGAGGCAGCAGUAGGGAAUCGGCCGCAAUGGGCGAAAGCCUGGCGGAGCGACGCCGCGUGAGUGAUGAAGGUCUUCGGAUCGUAAAACUCGGUUAUGAGGGAAGAACAUAUGUGUAAGUAACUGUACACAGCGUGACGGUACCUAAUCAGAAAGCCACGGCUAACUACGUG